UACGGAGGGUGCAAGCGUUAAUCGGAAUUACUGGGCGUAAAGCGCGCGUAGGCGGUUUUUUAAGUCGGAUGUGAAAGCCCCGGGCUCAACCUGGGAACUGCAUCCGAUACUGGAAGACUAGAAUGCGGGAGAGGGAGGUAGAAUUCCAUGUGUAGCAGUGAAAUGCGUGGAUAUAUGGAGGAAUACCAGUGGCGAAGGCGGCCUCCUGGCUCGACAUUGACGCUGAGGUGCGAAAGCGUGGGGAGCAAACGGG
Molecule: ribosomal RNA, 253 nt
Filed under: uncultured bacterium
Lineage: Bacteria
Description: partial 16S ribosomal RNA
Rfam family: Bacterial small subunit ribosomal RNA
Source: RNAcentral